GCCUCAGUAACGGCGAGUGAAGCGGCAACAGCUCAAAUUUGAAAUCUGGCUCUUUCAGGGUCCGAGUUGUAAUUUGUAGAGGGUGCUUUGGCGUUGGCCGUGGUCUAAGUUCCUUGGAACAGGACGUCACAGAGGGUGAGAAUCCCGUACGUGGCCGCCGGUCUUCGCCGUGUAAAGCCCCUUCGACGAGUCGAGUUGUUUGGGAAUGCAGCUCUAAAUGGGAGAUAAAUUUCUUCUAAAGCUAAAUAUUGGCCAGAGACCGAUAGCGCACAAGUAGAGUGAUCGAAAGAUGAAAAGCACUUUGGAAAGAGAGUCAAAAAGCACGUGAAAUUGUUGAAAGGGAAGCGCUUGCAGCCAGACGUGCCCGCAGUUGCUCACCUGGGCUCUCGCCCGGGGCAUUCUUCUGCGGGCAGGCCAGCAUCAGUUCGGGCGGUUGGAUAAAGGCCUCUAUCACGUACCAUCCUUCGGGAUGUCCUUAUAGGGGAGGCGCAACACGACCAGCCUGAACUGAGGACCGCGCAUUUGCUAGGAUGCUGGCGUAAUGGCUGUAAGCGGCCCGUCUUGAAACACGGACCAAGGAGUCUAACAUCUAUGCGAGUGUUUGGGUGUAAAGCCCGGACGCGCAAUGAAAGUGAACGGAGGUGGGAACCCCUCGGGGUGCACCAUCGACCGAUCCUGAAGUCUUCGGAUGGAUUUGAGUAAGAGCAUAGCUGUUGGGACCCGAAAGAUGGUGAACUAUGCCUGAAUAGGGUGAAGCCAGGGGAAACCCUGGUGGAGGCUCGCAGCGGUUCUGACGUGCAAAUCGAUCGUCAAAUUUGGGCAUAGGGGCGAAAGACU
RNAcentral lists this ribosomal RNA (837 nucleotides) under Xenoroussoella triseptata. RNAcentral's name for it is "partial large subunit ribosomal RNA". It matches the Rfam family "Eukaryotic large subunit ribosomal RNA", at positions 77 to 932 of the family's 3401-position model. The record is from RNAcentral. Lineage: Eukaryota; Fungi; Ascomycota; Dothideomycetes; Pleosporales; Thyridariaceae.